Molecule: signal recognition particle RNA, 99 nt
Filed under: Leadbettera azotonutricia ZAS-9
Lineage: Bacteria; Pseudomonadati; Spirochaetota; Spirochaetia; Treponematales; Breznakiellaceae
Description: Treponema azotonutricium ZAS-9 Bacterial small signal recognition particle RNA
Rfam family: Bacterial small signal recognition particle RNA
About the family: The signal recognition particle (SRP) is a universally conserved ribonucleoprotein involved in the co-translational targeting of proteins to membranes. Archaeal SRP consists of a 7S RNA and homologues of the eukaryotic SRP19 and SRP54 proteins.
Source: Rfam by way of RNAcentral
AGCCAGGAGCCAUGCGAGCGGCCGCCGCCUAACUCCGCCAGGUUCGGAAGGAAGCAACGGUAAGCGGUUGACCGCUGCGCCGUGGAUUUCCUGGCUGCG